GUUUAACGGCCGCUGUAUUCUUGACGGUGAUAAUGUAGGAAAAUAAAUAGUCGCUUAAUUAGCGAACGUAGGUGAAUGGUUUUACGAGAUUUCUACUGUCUUAAGUAUAUGAUUAAAAAAAUUUAAAUAAUAGUGAAGAUGCUAUUUAAAAUUGUAAGACGAGAAGACCCUAUAAAGCUUAACUAUAGUUUUAUGGUUUAUUAUUAAAAGAAUUUUUAAUUAUUCAUAAGAUUGGUAGUUUGGUUGGGGUAACAACAUUUUAAAUUUAAAGAAUGUAAUAUUUAUAAUUGUGUUAUUUAUUGUUUAAUUUAUUUAUUUAACAAUCAUGAAAUGGAUAUAAUGACCUGUCAUUUUAUAAAAAUUUUAGGUGACAAUAAAUAGAUAAAAGCUACUUUAGGGAUAACAGGUUAAUUUUAUCUUAGAGAUGGUAUCGAAGAUGAAGUUUGACACCUCGAUGUUGAAUUAAGAUGUCCUGGUAAUGCAGUCGUUACCAAAGGUUGGUCUGUUCGACCAUUAAAAUCUUACAUGAUUUGAGUUCAUUC
Molecule: ribosomal RNA, 542 nt
Filed under: Antennella secundaria
Lineage: Eukaryota; Metazoa; Cnidaria; Hydrozoa; Leptothecata; Halopterididae
Description: partial 16S ribosomal RNA
Rfam family: Bacterial large subunit ribosomal RNA
Source: RNAcentral